This 228-nucleotide ribosomal RNA is filed under the name uncultured bacterium. RNAcentral's name for it is "partial 16S ribosomal RNA". It matches the Rfam family "Bacterial small subunit ribosomal RNA", at positions 568 to 796 of the family's 1533-position model. The record is from RNAcentral.
UGCGUAGGCGGCGCGCUAAGUCAGUGGUGAAAGCCUCCCGCUCAACGGGAGAAAUGCCAUUGAUACUGGCGUGCUUGAGUACGGACGAGGUAGGCGGAAUUUAUGGUGUAGCGGUGAAAUGCAUAGAUACCAUAAAGAACACCGAUAGCGUAGGCAGCUUACUAGACCGUAACUGACGCUGAGGCACGAAAGCGUGGGGAGCGAACAGGAUUAGAUACCUGGUAGUCC